RNAcentral lists this ribosomal RNA (706 nucleotides) under Alexandrium tamarense. RNAcentral's name for it is "LSU rRNA". It matches the Rfam family "Eukaryotic large subunit ribosomal RNA", at positions 23 to 671 of the family's 3401-position model. Lineage: Eukaryota; Dinophyceae; Gonyaulacales; Pyrocystaceae. The record is from RNAcentral.
ACCCGCUGAAUUUAAGCAUAUAAGUAAGUGGUGGAAAUUAAACCAAAUGGGAUAUCUUUAGUAAUUGCGAAUGAACAAGGAUGUGCUUAGCUUGACAAAUGGAGCUAUUGGCUUUGAAUUGUAUUGUGGAAAUGUAUUACCAACAGAGGUGCAGGUGCCAGCCUAUUGAAAUAAAGCGUCAAUGAGGGUGAGAAUCCUGUUUGUCAUGUGCAGCCCUUUGUGCACGGUGUAUAUUCGCUGAGUCACACUCCUUGGCAUUGGAAUGCAAAGUGGGUGGUAAGUUUCAUGUAAAGGUAAACAUGCAAUUGAGACUGAUAGCACACAAGUACCAUGAGGGAAAUAUGAAAAGGACUUUGAAAAGAGAAUUAAAUGAGUUUGUAUUUGCUGAACACAAAGUAAACAGACUUGAUUUGCUUGGUGGGAGUGUUGCACUUGCUUGACAAGAGCUUUGGGCUGUGGGUGUAAUGAUUCUUUCUUUGCAUGCCAGUUUCUAUUUGUACAUCUGAUUACCUUUGCACAUGAAUGAUAAGUCUCCUGUGGGGGGUGGAUUGCGUGUGCAUGUAAUGAUUUGUGUUUUGAUAAAUGUGUCUGGUGUAUGUGUGUGUUCCUGUGCUUGGGGAUGCUUCCUUCCUUGGACUUACAAGCCCUGACACACACAUGCUGGCAAAAUGCUUCUGCUUGACCCGUCUUGAAACACGGACCAAGG